AAUUGUCACAAACACCUCUGGUGAAGGGUUAGGAUUUCUUUUUGCACCAAUCUUCUUUGAAUUUUCUUUUCUAUUUUUAUUUUUAAUGUAUAUUUUAUAUCCCAAUUUAAUAUGUAAGUCAUUAUGGGACAUCCACAUUAAAAAUAAAAUACUUUUAUAUUAAUUUGAUGUCAGUUUUAGAUACAGUAUAAGAUAAGGUUAAGCUUGAAUUAUUUGUGAAAAAUUGUUAUGUGAUUUAUCAUAUGUAUUUAUGAACUAACAAUUAUAGCUAAUAUACUAACUCCAUAUAAUGGAUUCUAAUAUACCUCAGAUAUGAGCCCAGAGAGGUUAUGUAAUGGUUGGUAGAGAAAAUAAAUACUGUUGUACUAAGUGAGUGAAUGUUGUUGUAGACCACUCUCACCAACACUACAGCUAUAUUAUGACAGGUAAAUAAUAUGUCUGAGCCAGUUGAUCAAGGGAUUGAUAGUGUGAGCAGCGACUGACAUUGUAAUUACGUGAUGACAGUAAACUCGAUAUAUCGUAACUACCAUAUACCUGUUUGAAGUACAAGCUACAUGGUUCCUAUACUACUCUUGUAGAUGGUCUGUGUUGUGUGCUUCUCGUUGAUGUGUAGUUUUAUAUUUAAGUGUGGGCUUAUAUCUGAGAAAUUGUGUUAUUUGUCAAACAAUAAUACUGCUGUACUAGAAGGGCCUGCAUCUAUGCAACAAUCUGCCACAUGAUGUACUAAUGUCACCCAGAUAUAGUAUAUAAUAUUCACUCAUCUCAUACAUCAUAUUCGUCACACAUUGUCAAUGAUGACACAACUUGUGUUAUUUAAGAAUGCACCAGAAUUAUUCUCAUCAUGAAAAUCAUGAUUUCACAUAAGCACAUGUUGAACUGUUAUUUUUCUUUCCAUGCACAUGGUCAGUUGAUUCCUAGUUUUUAAUCUUCUGUAUGGUUUUUCAUUUAUUUAUUUAGUGAUGUAAAACCUAAAAUGUUGCACUGUGAACAUAUACCACUCAAUAAAGUUAAGGAACAUCCAAGUUUUUCACAUGACUAUAGUAAACCUGUCUCACCAUGAUUAACUAAUAGUUAUGUGAAAACCUUGGCUGUUCUUGACUUCUUUGAGUAGUGUAUAUGCAGGAAUGAUAAAACUCUUCAAUGUUUUUGAUAAAAACUGGAGUUAUGAAAAUUGGUUUAUUUGAAAACUGAAAAUAAAAAGAAUUGAACAGGUUUGUGUUGCACUUUGACAGACCUGUUUUUAUGUUUUUACUUUUUGGAAGUUUCAUCAAAUAAAACAUGUAGUAACAUUUCAGGUUUUACGUCUAAGUAUUACAUGGUCAUUGUCUUGUCUUGAACACACUUGAUAAUAAUAUUUCUGCAUUGGGUUUUAAUUUCAAAAUAUGGAAAUCAGGUGAAAAGCACAAAUUCUGCUUUCAAGCACAAAUAAUUCGCACAGUGAUAAUUCACUAAAUUUGGAUAGUUUCACUAACAGCUGUCGGAUAGGAUCAGAAAAUGCUGAUUGUUGAUUACAGAAUAAAGAUGUAUUUAUCUGAAGUUCAUAAAUAUUUGUUGAUUCAUAAUUUAUGUGCGUUUGUUCAGUCAGAUUGUAGUAUAGGAUCUUGCUUUUAUUGUAGAACAUGUAAAGAAAUAAUGUAUAUAAUUAUUUCAUGAAGGACAUGAACACUUCUAGUAUUAAUACAUUAUGAUCUCUUUUAUCACUUGAAAUAAUUGAUACCCUUUGAUAUUAUUGGAGUCAGACCAGAUUAAUUUCCAUUUUUCACAUUCUCUCUGUCAACAUGCCCAUGGCCAAAUUUGAAACAUUUUCAUUGAUGAUUUGAGGUUAAUUUCUUAGAUCAGGCCAGACCAAUUUUGUUUCUUGUUUUACAGAUUUUUGUCCUCAUUAAACCUAAAGGGAGGAGGGAGAAAAUAU
Haliotis rubra (blacklip abalone) is the source of this 1912-nucleotide long non-coding RNA. RefSeq lists it as uncharacterized. The transcript has 2 exons. NCBI's taxonomy places the organism in Eukaryota, Metazoa, Mollusca, Gastropoda, Lepetellida, Haliotidae. The record is from RefSeq and is a predicted model, not a curated record.